UACGGAGGGGGCUAGCGUUGUUCGGAAUUACUGGGCGUAAAGCGCACGUAGGCGGACUGUUAAGUCGGGGGUGAAAUCCUGGGGCUCAACCUCAGAAUUACCUCCGAUACUGGCAGUCUCGAGUGCGGGAGAGGUGAGUGGAAUUCCCAGUGUAGAGGUGAAAUUCGUAGAUAUUGGGAAGAACACCAGUGGCGAAGGCGGCUCACUGGCCCGUAACUGACGCUGAGGUGCGAAAGCGUGGGGAGCAAACAGG
Molecule: ribosomal RNA, 253 nt
Filed under: uncultured bacterium
Lineage: Bacteria
Description: partial 16S ribosomal RNA
Rfam family: Bacterial small subunit ribosomal RNA
Source: RNAcentral